UCCGUAGGUGGAUAAUUAAGUCAGAGGUGAAAUCCUGCAGCUCAACUGUAGAAUUGCCUAUGAUACUGGUUAUCUUGAGUCAUUAUGAAGUGGUUAGAAUGUGUAGUGUAGCGGUGAAAUGCAUAGAUAUUACACAGAAUACCGAUUGCGAAGGCAGAUCACUAAUAAUGUACUGACACUGAGGGACGAAAGCGUGGGGAGCGAACAGGAUUAGAUACCCUGGUAGUCC
This 229-nucleotide ribosomal RNA is filed under the name uncultured bacterium. RNAcentral's name for it is "partial 16S ribosomal RNA". It matches the Rfam family "Bacterial small subunit ribosomal RNA", at positions 568 to 796 of the family's 1533-position model. The record is from RNAcentral.